UAAGGAGAUGUCUGUGGUCCAACCCCUAUCAAGGAGAGUGGUUCCAGAGCGAAGGCUGUGUGUAGAGGUGAGGCCCACCAGUUCUAACUGGUAUUGCUCC
Long non-coding RNA from Thalassophryne amazonica, 100 nucleotides. RefSeq lists it as uncharacterized. NCBI's taxonomy places the organism in Eukaryota, Metazoa, Chordata, Actinopteri, Batrachoidiformes, Batrachoididae. The record is from RefSeq and is a predicted model, not a curated record. The transcript has 3 exons.